UCCCCAGACAAUUUGACCACUGUGCAGUUCCCUAUAUAAGGGAAUUGAGAAAGUUAGUGGACAUCAGUGUUUCUCCUGCCUGCACCGGUCAAGUUACGAAUCAUGAACAAGUUUGUCUCCCUUUUUGCCGCCCUGGCUCUACUUGGCUGUGUAUCCGCACAGACAUUCGGCGCCUUCACCCCCGGAGGUCUGGCUUCCCUGGCACUCCUCCCCCCACUCAUCAACCAGCUGGCUAUGCCCGUCAGACCUCCUCCGCCACCACCAGCAUUCUACGGAGGAGGAGGAUUCGGAGGAUACGGAGGAGGAGGAUACCUCCCACCCACCAUUAUUGAGCGCAGGGUCAGGUACCACCCCGGCAAAUAUUAAUGAUCUAACGACAUCCUGUCAAAGGCCUUCAAAUCAUUGAUCACGGUAUGUGACAAAGGUUGAUAUGGAUAAUAUAUGGACGAGACAGACAUGCGCGAAUAUGAUGGACAUUCUUGGGGCUAUCAAAUACACGCAGAUCAAGAAA
This 511-nucleotide long non-coding RNA is filed under the name Mizuhopecten yessoensis (Yesso scallop). RNAcentral's name for it is "uncharacterized LOC110454459". Lineage: Eukaryota; Metazoa; Mollusca; Bivalvia; Pectinida; Pectinidae. The record is from RNAcentral.